This is an RNA transcript of Priapulus caudatus, 4012 nucleotides long. It is a transcript of the gene named CREB/ATF bZIP transcription factor-like, with no coding region annotated. The record is from RefSeq and is a predicted model, not a curated record. NCBI's taxonomy places the organism in Eukaryota, Metazoa, Priapulida, Priapulimorpha, Priapulimorphida, Priapulidae. The transcript is spliced from 5 exons.
AGACACGCCCAUAAACUGAUGAUCAGCGAAUCAGCGGAUUGGAAUUAACACCUGCUCAUACACGACCUCCGUUCACGCGGCCAGGUUGGCCUAGUUGUGAAUCUGAUGCAGAAGUGUGAACGACGAUCAUCAUACGUUUCAUAAGAGGCAUAUUCCUAAUUUGAUACAAGUGCAAGCUCUGACAAGCCGUCAUCCAACAGAGAACAUGUACCAACAGGAUUCCGUUUUCAGUGAUGAAUUUGAGGUAGGGAAAUUGGGCGAGGUAACGGAUUAUAGCCCCGUUUCUAUGUCUGAGAGUUCACCUUUGGGGUGUGGUGACAUGAUGGAAGGUUAUAUUUAUAACGCAUUGGCAUUGCCUGGGUUUGAAGAAUUAGUCGAUAAUAUGCAUUUCGAAUUAGUCGCCGACAAAAUGACACUGCUCCCCUCGUCCGGAGUCCUUCAUCCCAACCCAACUGACAGUGAAUAUGCCGGCCCAGCAUGUAACGUCACGCUGGCAAACGUCGGUAGCUGCAGCAGCAGCAGUGUGGCGCAGCAGAUGCCUGCAGAAUCAACGAUGCUGGCAUCGCCACGUACCACCUCCCCACUCCCAGAAGUCUGCAUAACAGCGGCCAAGCAAACAGGAAAGCGUGCAGGACGGAAAACCCCAAAGCUACCAUGUUCCAGUGACGUCUAUGGUGCGCGUACGAGGGACAGCUUUUCGCCAACUUUAAGCCCCGCACAUUCGACGAGCAGCGAAGACGACAAGGCGGAGGCCAUCGUGGAGAAGAAUCAAAGAAAUGCGCAACAGGCCCGAAUAAACCGGGAAAAAAAGAAGGCCCACAUCAACAAGCUGGAGAGUGACAAGGAGAAACUGGCGAAGGAAAACGCCGAGUUGAGAACCGAGCUAGAGAUUGAAAGAAACGAGAGCAGUACGCUAAGAGAAGAGCUCGCCUAUCUGCGGAAUGUCAUCGCCAACGAAAGCACGCUCUCCACCCUUCUGAAGAACAUUGAUGCCAGCAGCGUUUCCUUGACAACCUCUUUCAACCGCAAGAGGGCUCACCAUGGCGACGCCAGGGAACCUACCAAGCAUACGAAGGGUGCGGCGCUAGGUGGCGGUGUGUGCCUGCAUGUGGAAAACAAGAACGUAUCACUCGAGUUUUGCCCGAGAUGUUCGCGGAUGGCUCACGUCGCCCGCAUUGCUGAGUUGUGACUGCCAGCGGCCCAAGGUACUUUGCCAGAAGCAUGAGUGAGCAGUUCCAUUGCUGAGAAUUGUGAUAGUGCCAGAAUGAUCUGAUUCUGCCUAGAAUAAGAAAGAAGAGUUCGGUAGCUGUGCCAUGAAGAGGUUAGCCAAGGAUAUGUCUGGUGAUGUUAGUUCUUUAUAUUUUAUCUUUAUAGAUAUUGUUGAACGUUUAUAUAAUAAUGCAUGUGUGUACUGGACUCUGUCAUUAUACGUAUUGUAUAUUUGUGUAAAACCCGAUUAAAUUUAAGGUUAGCAUGGAUCAGCUGAUGAUGGUGCUGUGGAAAUAGAUGAAACUACAAAAGACACUGAUAUUCUUCUUGAACUAAUUUUUAGUAUGUCAUAAACAUAAUGCACUAUUAAUAUUUAAAUGCAGACAAAUCAGAGGAGUACCACUUGUAUUGAAACUUGUGUAAAAUAAUGUAGGCACCAUCACCCACUCUUACAGUAAGGCCAAAACAAAAUAUAGGUGUGGUUAUGGUUUCCCGACCGACCCUAUUUAUUCCCAGCGACCCUAAACAUUUUAAUUGUCAAUUUUCUUUAAAGUAAAAAAAAAUAAAAAAUAUGAAUUGGACAGUUCCUGCUUCAAAAGACAUUCUUGCACAUUUCAAAAGCACAUUCUUCGGACAUGGUUCGUAAAUAAAACAUUUCAAGAAAAUAAAAUGUUUUCCCUACCUACCUACCCUAUUUUUUUUCGGCAUGUAACGGUAACCACACAUAUUUUGUUUUGGCCUAAUGCUAAUUUGUGAUAAAAAAGUUAAAGCAGUAGUUCUUGUAGUUUGUAUUGUUUUUGUGUAUUGGUGUUAUGGUGAUAUCAAUGCAAUGUAGGUAUAGUGCAGCAUGGAAUUAUUGGUAUCAUUCUGCCCAGUAAAUGUUUAGUAAUUUCAAAUACUAGAGCAAUAUAAUCUGCAGUUUUGUCCAUGCUCGUACAGUGAUCUGUCAUGAGUUGUAACGAUUGAACUAGAAACGGUGGCGUGCGUGCGUAUGUUGGGGAGGGGGGAUAAUACCUCUGUAUGCCAUUUUUUGUGCAGGUUACUGGCAGAAGCAGUGCGGUGGACGCUCUAUUCUCCGAACGCCUUCGAACUAAGUAAGGUGGGCGAGAAUGUUACCCUCACAUGUCCUGGCUGCUCACUCAUGUUUGUAGACAAUGACGACCAGCUAGUUCCUAUUUAAGGUCUUUCUUGCCUUUGAGGCGAUUUUGUUUCAGAUAUGAACACACUGGAAACCCAGCAACUUUGAGUGAUAGCAGCAGCACCAGCAGCAGCAUCUCUCGGGGAUGAGCGGUCUUUCCUUCAGGACCGGUGGUGUGUGGGGGUAGUGAUGUGCUGCGUGAUAUGGGGGCUGAUGCUGAAGCUGAUGUACCUCGUCGUGAAAGAAAAGUCGGUUCAUCGGUGUGCGUAUGCGUGAGUGUGUGACAGCAGCCUGUUGUUGUGAAAUGUGCAGCGGCAAUGUCAACUGAUCGAUGGUUUUGUUAGCAUGCAGAAGAAUUCAUGCGUCAGGAUAGUCGGCCGCUGAAUUUAGCUGGUGACGUACGUGCACUGCAGAUUUCAGUCUUCGUCACAUGACAGCCAAUCUCAUCUUGGCGUUCUUACCUCAAUCUUGGUUGCAUGUCAAUCACAGCAGUGGUUAUCAGAUAGAACCAGCAGCGUGUUGAGACAGCGUCAGUUCUCCCCAUUCAGCUUUGUAUGUAACUAGUUCAGAAGUGUUUGCAGUUGGCUCUGGGAUUAGGUUGUGACGUCACUGACACUGCUGCAAGCAUCAAGUCACGAAGAAUAGAUCGAAGUGCGUAUGUUUACUUGUGAUAAGAUUAGGUUUCAAAGUGCAGUUAGGUGGACACACCACAUCGAUUCGCACAUAUAUUCGCUGGAAAAGGACGUUUAUUUGACAAGCAUUGUUAGUUUUUUAUGAAUAGAUCGCAGUGCGUGUAUUUACUUGUGAUAAUAUUGGUUUUCAAAGUUCACAGUUUGGUGAGCACAUCACAUCGACUUGCACAUGUAUUCACUGAAAAGAUAAAUUUAUUUGACUAGCAUUGUUUAGUUUUUAUUUAAGUGUAAACUUGAUGCAACUGACGUUAUGCUCACAGGAACAAAGGUUGGCUGGUGUACAGAGAAUUCAUCAGUUGUAUUGAUACGUAAAGCCAACUCUAAGCCUAUCGAUUGUUAUUUGAUACAAUAACAUGUCAACGUUAGUUUGGUUGUUUUCUACCAAUUUAUAAAGCAAGCUUUUGUGAAAACGGGUGUAUGGUAAUAAGGAAAAUGUCACAUGUUAAUAUUGUAUAUUUCUAAGUUAUAUUUAUUGCCUAUACUGUACUGUAAAAUAAUGUUCAUUCGAGAAUGUAUGGCUCAGUUUCAGACGGUACAACCAGUAAGCAACCAUCAUUUCUAUUCAGUCGCAUAGAACUAAGAUGAUAUGCGUGUCAUUGAUGCUAAUAAAUAAAAAAAGGUUAAUUUUUACCCGAACUAGGUUUACCAAAGAAGUAGGAAGGGUUAAAUAGGAGUGUUAUAUUGUAGGUGCGUCUUGUGAUCAAGAACUCGUGCAGUGCCGGACAAGAGGCUGAAAUUCGUUCGUGACUUUGAUGUGUAUGUGGUGGUGAUUGUGCAAGCUUUCGUUCAGAAUAAACAAUGAGUUGUUGAAAUGAAUCUGAUAAACACAAGAACUCAAUGCCGAAUCUAUUUUGCAGUGUGUCGUCUGUCAGUGGAGGCAGGUGAGAGGCGUUGUGGCUCACCAAUACCCGAUCGUCGCUUCUGUUAUUGCACUUGCUCGUGUGACAAAUAAAGAACUAAUAAGUUACUAAUA